This 402-nucleotide ribosomal RNA is filed under the name bacterium. RNAcentral describes it as "partial 16S ribosomal RNA". It matches the Rfam family "Bacterial small subunit ribosomal RNA", at positions 355 to 776 of the family's 1533-position model. The record is from RNAcentral.
UGGGGAAUUUUGCACAAUGGGGGAAACCCUGAUGCAGCGACGCCGCGUGAUUUAGAAGGCCUUCGGGUUGUAAAAAUCUUUUCUAUGGGAAGAAAAUGACAGUACCAUAGGAAUAAGGACCGGCUAAUUACGUGCCAGCAGCCGCGGUAAUACGUAAGGUCCGAGCGUUGUCCGGAAUCAUUGGGCGUAAAGGGUACGUAGGCGGGUAAGCGAGUUAGAAGUGAAAUCCUAUAGCUCAACUAUAGUAAGCUUUUAAAACUGCUCAUCUUGAGGUAUGGAAGGGAAAGUGGAAUUCCUAGUGUAGCGGUGAAAUGCGCAGAUAGUAGGAGGAAGACCGGUGGCGGAGGCGACUUUCUGGCCAUACCCUGACGCUGAGGUACGAAAGCGUGGGUAGCAAACAGG